RNAcentral lists this ribosomal RNA (497 nucleotides) under uncultured bacterium. RNAcentral's name for it is "partial 16S ribosomal RNA". It matches the Rfam family "Bacterial small subunit ribosomal RNA", at positions 28 to 507 of the family's 1533-position model. The record is from RNAcentral.
GAUGAGCGCUGGCGGCGUGCCUAAUACAUGCAAGUCGAGCGAACGGACGAGAAGCUUGCUUCUCUGAUGUUAGCGGCGGACGGGUGAGUAACACGUGGAUAACCUACCUAUAAGACUGGGAUAACUUCGGGAAACCGGAGCUAAUACCGGAUGAUAUUUUGAACCGCAUGGUUCAAAAGUGAAAGACGGUCUUGCUGUCACUUAUAGAUGGAUCCGCGCUGCAUUAGCUAGUUGGUAAGGUAACGGCUUACCAAGGCAACGAUGCAUAGCCGACCUGAGAGGGUGAUAGGCCACACUGGAACGGAGACACGGUCCAGACACCUACGGGAGGCAGCAGUAGGGAAUCUUCCGCAAUGGGCGAAAGCCUGACGGAGCAACGCCGCGUGAGUGAUGAAGGUUUUCGGAUCGUAAAACUCUGUUAUUAGGGAAGAACAUAUGUGUAAGGAACUGUGCACAUCUUGACGGUACCUAAUCAGAAAGCCACGGCUAACUACGUG